AGGAAAAUUACAUUAAAAAGGACUAAAAGCUACACUAGACUAUUCUUAUAACAAACUAAUUUCUUCAUUCAUUCCAUUUCAUAAUGAUCACAAUGACCAAUCACUUAUUUGAGUUCAUCUUUGCUCCAUUUAGGCGUGCUCAAUUUAUCCCAUUCCAAGACAUAGAUGUAUGUCAUGUGGCAAAAACAAAUUCAAGGGUUGAGAUUAAAAUGUUAAAAUAGAGAAUGAUCCAUGGGAUUCUUCUUCCUUCCUCAAAUUAACUCCAUCGCUACCUUUCUCUCGCUGCCCCUUACCUUCCAUCCCAACCAUUCUCUCGCUGCCCCUUACCUUCCAUCCCAACCACCAGAGAUCAGUUGCUGGAAAAAAAAAUAUACCAGAAAGAGAACCCAAUGUUUUAAGAACAAAUCAACAUCAUGGUUUUCCAAUUAUUUAUUUUUUCUGUUUUUUCUUCUGUUUUCAUUUUCUGGAAUUUAUUUCCCUUUUUAUCAAUUUAGGCCAAUUCAUUCCAAGUGAAGAGAGUUCCAAUUCAACAAAAAUUCCAAUUAAUUUCAUUCUGAUCCAUUCAAAUUUAUCAAUUUCACAGUGAGAGGUUGGUUGUUUUCAUUCACCCAAAUUUCAAAACUAGAUUACGACAGAGAAGAAAAGGGGAAGAUGGGGAAGAGAGUCAUGCUGGGCGGGAGGAAAGGGGGCGCCGGUGAUGGUGACGGUGAUAGUGACAGUGCCGGCGAGGAGAAGGACAGGGGCAGCUAUGAUCAUAGAGAGGAAGAUGGAAGGGUACGUUACACAGAGAAAGAGAAGAGUGUUUUUUGUUUUUACUAAAUAAAGUAUAAUUUUUUACUAUUUAAUCUCAAC
RNAcentral lists this long non-coding RNA (852 nucleotides) under Medicago truncatula (barrel medic). RNAcentral describes it as "long non-coding RNA (MTRU_LNC000917)". Lineage: Eukaryota; Viridiplantae; Streptophyta; Magnoliopsida; Fabales; Fabaceae. The record is from RNAcentral.